CUUGGAGGAUCGUAUAGCGAGAGCUAGCUGCAUUAGCUUAGCGAAAGCUAAAUUGGUGCAGUAUUGUCUCGUCAAAUAAAGUUCUGGGUAGGUUAUGACGAUGACAUUUCCUAUCUGUGUGUCUUGACCAAAUUACGUGCCAGCAGUCGCGGUAAUACGUAGAAGACUAGUGUUAUUCAUCUUUAAUAGGUUUAAAGGGUACCUAGACGGUAAAUCAAGUCCAACAAGGAUACUAAUUUACUAGAGUUAAAUGUGAUGGGGCUAUAAAGUACUGGUUAGUGUAGAGAUGAAAUUCUAUCAUACAAUAUAUGGCACAGGCAAAGGCGAAGGCAUCUCCUAAUGUAAUAACUGACGUUGAGGGACGAAGGCAUCGUGUAGCAAAAAGGAUUAGAUACCCAAGUAGCUGUUGCAGAAAAUUAUGAAUGUCAUAGGAUGGAAACCUUUUUCUUUUUUUACGAUAAAAGCAAAAUAUAGAGUGAUCAGAAAACAGUUAAAAGGUAAUUUUUUUCUAUAAAUGAUAGUGUAAGCAUUCCACCUCAAGAGUAAUUUGGCAACAUUGGAACUGAAAUCAUUAGACCGUUUCUGAAACAAGUAGUGAAGUAUGUUGUUUAAUUUGAUGGCCCGCAAAAGACCUUACCACAAUUUGAAUAGAAACUUUUUUUAUACAAGCGCUGCACGGUUGUCUUCAGUUAAUGUCGUGAGACCUUGGUUAGUUCCAUUAAAUUAACGUAAACCCUUACUUUAUUUUUAUAUAGAGUAGUUCGCCGCUACAAUGGUUAUGAUAAAAGGGA
Molecule: ribosomal RNA, 791 nt
Filed under: Polyblastidium japonicum
Lineage: Eukaryota; Fungi; Ascomycota; Lecanoromycetes; Caliciales; Physciaceae
Description: SSU rRNA
Rfam family: Bacterial small subunit ribosomal RNA
Source: RNAcentral